GGUGCUGUGGCUCAAGUGGUAGAGCUCUAGCAUCUUGAGCUGGAGAGCUGAGGCACAGCACCC
This 63-nucleotide transfer RNA is filed under the name Dipodomys ordii (Ord's kangaroo rat). The record is from Rfam by way of RNAcentral. Lineage: Eukaryota; Metazoa; Chordata; Mammalia; Rodentia; Heteromyidae.